AAUGAACGCUGGCGGCGCGCCUAAUACAUGCAAGUCGAGCGAGAAGACGUAGCAAUACGUUUGUAAAGCGGCGAACGGGUGAGGAAUACAUGGGUAACCUACCCUUGAGUGGGGAAUAACUAGCCGAAAGGUUAGCUAAUACCGCGUACGCUUCCUGGACUUCGGUUCAGGGAGGAAAGCGAUGCCGAGGGUAUCGCGCUCUUGGAUGGGCUCAUGUCCUAUCAGCUUGUUGGNGAGGUAACGGCUCACCAAGGCUUCGACGGGUAGCUGGUCUGAGAGGACGAUCAGCCACACUGGCACUGCGACACGGGCCAGGACUCCUACGGGAGGCAGCAGUAAGGAA
This 343-nucleotide ribosomal RNA is filed under the name uncultured bacterium. Its description in RNAcentral is "bacterial SSU rRNA". It matches the Rfam family "Bacterial small subunit ribosomal RNA", at positions 29 to 361 of the family's 1533-position model. The record is from RNAcentral.